This 454-nucleotide ribosomal RNA is filed under the name Staphylococcus aureus. Its description in RNAcentral is "partial 23S ribosomal RNA". It matches the Rfam family "Bacterial large subunit ribosomal RNA", at positions 258 to 711 of the family's 2925-position model. The record is from RNAcentral. Lineage: Bacteria; Bacillati; Bacillota; Bacilli; Caryophanales; Staphylococcaceae.
ACGGGAAGAGCCCAAACCAACAAGCUUGCUUGUUGGGGUUGUAGGACACUCUAUACGGAGUUACAAAGGACGACAUUAGACGAAUCAUCUGGAAAGAUGAAUCAAAGAAGGUAAUAAUCCUGUAGUCGAAAAUGUUGUCUCUCUUGAGUGGAUCCUGAGUACGACGGAGCACGUGAAAUUCCGUCGGAAUCUGGGAGGACCAUCUCCUAAGGCUAAAUACUCUCUAGUGACCGAUAGUGAACCAGUACCGUGAGGGAAAGGUGAAAAGCACCCCGGAAGGGGAGUGAAAUAGAACCUGAAACCGUGUGCUUACAAGUAGUCAGAGCCCGUUAAUGGGUGAUGGCGUGCCUUUUGUAGAAUGAACCGGCGAGUUACGAUUUGAUGCAAGGUUAAGCAGUAAAUGUGGAGCCGUAGCGAAAGCGAGUCUGAAUAGGGCGUUUAGUAUUUGGUCGUA